This 484-nucleotide ribosomal RNA is filed under the name uncultured bacterium. Its description in RNAcentral is "partial 16S ribosomal RNA". It matches the Rfam family "Bacterial small subunit ribosomal RNA", at positions 28 to 507 of the family's 1533-position model. The record is from RNAcentral.
AUUGAACGCUGGCGGCAUGCUUUACACAUGCAAGUCGAACGGCAGCGCGGGCUUCGGCCUGGCGGCGAGUGGCGAACGGGUGAGUAAUACAUCGGAACGUGCCCAGUAGUGGGGGAUAGCUCGGCGAAAGCCGGAUUAAUACCGCAUACGACCUGAGGGUGAAAGCGGGGGAUCUUCGGACCUCGCGCUAUUGGAGCGGCCGGUGGCAGAUUAGCUAGUUGGUGGGGUAAAGGCCUACCAAGGCGACGAUCUGUAGCUGGUCUGAGAGGACGACCAGCCACACUGGGACUGAGACACGGCCCAGAGUCCUACGGGAGGCAGCAGUGGGGAAUGUUGGGCGAUGGGGGGAAGCCUGGUCCAGCAAGGCCGCGUGUGUGAUGAAGGCCUUCGGGUUGUAAAGCACUUUUGGCGGGAACGAAAAGGACUGUGCCAAUACCACGGUUCGAUGACGGUACCCGCAGAAUAAGCACCGGCUAACUACGUG